UCCUGUCAUAGCGUUGUUAUUUCAAAAUGAAAAGAUUGUUUAACUCCUGAUACAAGUCUACUUAAAAAGCUUUGCCAAGCAAAACAUAAAUGUCUCUCAUUGGUGAGUUGUCUGAUUGACGUCCCAUGAGUCCCGCGAGUGAGAAGGUCUGUCGAUGCUGUCAAACUUAUUAUGCCGGAGUAAACUUCCUUUACUCUAACAGUAUUCAUUUCAGUAUUUCCACUCGUUUUGGGUAGUUUAAAACUAUUAAUAAUAUACGGAUAAGCUAGAAAAUUAUCUUACAGUUACUUUCAACAGCAUAUUAUAACAACAAACUAUGGUCGCAUACUCACUGUCGGUUUGCAGGUACUCGGAGGCACUUCACUCUAAAUAAUGUUCUUCGUGAACUGCGCGAAACAAAGUUCAAGAAAUACUGUCAGCUACUGUAAGGUCUGCUAUAUGCUGACCUUCAUUACAAACAAAACUAUCCUGUCAAAAUACCUGGAGGGAGAUGUGCGUUCAGUCGACUGUUAAUUAGAAGAAAACAUUGCCCUGCGCGAGGUUGUUGAUUGCUGUCGCCUACGAAGCCCCGUUUCAUGCGCGUUCACAGCGACCAGAAGCACGCUCGAGGGUAGUAAACGUCCUUGGAGUUCAGCUAUUAAUUCGAUUCCAUUAUGUUCGGAAUGAAUCAAUACAGGAAGGUCGACUGACGGUUGUGAUAAUAUGCAUUUUUUUUUUUUCUUUAUUAAUUUUUGUAACAUCCCGUUCCGAUGAAAAGUGUGCAUAUGAAAAUAAUCCGUGUCUGAAUUAUUUAUUAUUCAGUAUCAAGUUACGCAUACAUUUUAAAUAUUAAAAGGUCGACUGGAUACCAUCACCUGAAGUAUUAUUAUUAUUAUUAUCAUUAUUGUUAUUAUUAUUAUUUACCAGUUUAUUUCUUUUGAAAUAAAACCAAUAGGUUACGUCCUAUCUUUUUUUUUAAAACAUAUUGGGAUAUGACUGCGUUAAACUGAAGUCUGAAUCACUGUUAAGGCUAAUAGCAACAGAUCUAAAAUGAUGAUAGUGUCUCAUUUAGCAUAAUAUUUACG
This is a long non-coding RNA of Clupea harengus (Atlantic herring), 1064 nucleotides long. Lineage: Eukaryota; Metazoa; Chordata; Actinopteri; Clupeiformes; Clupeidae. The record is from Ensembl.